RNAcentral lists this ribosomal RNA (253 nucleotides) under uncultured bacterium. RNAcentral describes it as "partial 16S ribosomal RNA". It matches the Rfam family "Bacterial small subunit ribosomal RNA", at positions 524 to 776 of the family's 1533-position model. The record is from RNAcentral.
GACGAACCGAGCGAACGUUGUUCGGAAUCACUGGGCUUAAAGGGCGCGUAGGCGGGUGCUCAAGUCUGUGGUGAAAUCCUCCGGCUCAACCGGAGAACUGCCAUGGAUACUGGGUGCCUCGAGGGUGGUAGGGGUAUGCGGAACUAUCGGUGGAGCGGUGAAAUGCGCAGAUAUCAGGAGGAACACCAAUUGCGAAGGCAGCUCGCUGGGACGUCACUGACGCUGAGACGCGAAAGCGUGGGGAGCAAACAGG